ACGCUCGACACCUACGGUAGGCAGCAGUGGGGAAUAUUGCACAAUGGGGGAAACCCUGAUGCAGCGAUGCCGCGUGAAGGAAGAAGUAUCUCGGUAUGUAAACUUCUAUCAGCAGGGAAGAAAAUGACGGUACCUGACUAAGAAGCCCCGGCUAACUACGUGCUAGCAGCCGCGGUAAUCUGAGCGGGCUGGCAAGGC
This 198-nucleotide ribosomal RNA is filed under the name uncultured bacterium. RNAcentral's name for it is "partial 16S ribosomal RNA". It matches the Rfam family "Bacterial small subunit ribosomal RNA", at positions 326 to 539 of the family's 1533-position model. The record is from RNAcentral.